This 367-nucleotide unclassified non-coding RNA is filed under the name uncultured fungus. Its description in RNAcentral is "partial contains small subunit ribosomal RNA, internal transcribed spacer 1, and 5.8S ribosomal RNA". The stretch from base 1 to 73 matches the Rfam family "Eukaryotic small subunit ribosomal RNA", at positions 1759 to 1831 of the family's 1831-position model. Lineage: Eukaryota; Fungi. The record is from RNAcentral.
GCAAACUUGGUCAUUUAGAGGAAGUAAAAGUCGUAACAAGGUUUCCGUAGGUGAACCUGCGGAAGGAUCAUUACAGAAAUAAACUUGAUGGGUUGUAGCUGAUUCUAUUACAGAGUAUUGUGCACACCUGUCAUUUUUAUCUUUCCACCAUGUGAACCUUGCAUAGGUCUGAAAAUCAAAGUUUACUUUGAUGUAGUGGGAACUGCUGUUUGUAUGAAUAACAGCUUUUUUUGUCUUCAGGUCCUAUGAUUUUUUAAUAUACACCAUGUAUGUUGAAGAACGUUUUGGAAGGCUUAUCAAGGCCUAUAAAUUUAAUACAACUUUCAGCAACGGAUCUCUUGGCUCUCGCAUCGAUGAAGAACGCAGC